RNAcentral lists this ribosomal RNA (2927 nucleotides) under Klebsiella michiganensis. RNAcentral describes it as "23S ribosomal RNA". It matches the Rfam family "Bacterial large subunit ribosomal RNA". Lineage: Bacteria; Pseudomonadati; Pseudomonadota; Gammaproteobacteria; Enterobacterales; Enterobacteriaceae. The record is from RNAcentral.
GGGUUGUGAGGUUAAGCGACUAAGCGUACACGGUGGAUGCCCUGGCAGUCAGAGGCGAUGAAGGACGUGCUAAUCUGCGAAAAGCGUCGGUAAGGUGAUAUGAACCGUUACAGCCGGCGAUGUCCGAAUGGGGAAACCCAGUGCAAUUCGUUGCACUAUCGUUAACUGAAUACAUAGGUUAACGAGGCGAACCGGGGGAACUGAAACAUCUAAGUACCCCGAGGAAAAGAAAUCAACCGAGAUUCCCCCAGUAGCGGCGAGCGAACGGGGAGCAGCCCGGAGUCUGAAUCAGCUUGUGUGUUAGUGGAAGCGUCUGGAAAGUCGCAGGGUACAGGGUGAUACUCCCGUACACUAAAACACACAGGUUGUGAACUCGAAGAGUAGGGCGGGACACGUGGUAUCCUGUCUGAAUAUGGGGGGACCAUCCUCCAAGGCUAAAUACUCCUGACUGACCGAUAGUGAACCAGUACCGUGAGGGAAAGGCGAAAAGAACCCCGGCGAGGGGAGUGAAAAAGAACCUGAAACCGUGUACGUACAAGCAGUAGGAGCCCACUUGUUGGGUGACUGCGUACCUUUUGUAUAAUGGGUCAGCGACUUAUAUUCUGUAGCAAGGUUAACCGUAUAGGGGAGCCGCAGGGAAACCGAGUCUUAACUGGGCGUUAAGUUGCAGGGUAUAGACCCGAAACCCGGUGAUCUAGCCAUGGGCAGGUUGAAGGUUGGGUAACACUAACUGGAGGACCGAACCGACUAAUGUUGAAAAAUUAGCGGAUGACUUGUGGCUGGGGGUGAAAGGCCAAUCAAACCGGGAGAUAGCUGGUUCUCCCCGAAAGCUAUUUAGGUAGCGCCUCGUGAAUUCAUCUUCGGGGGUAGAGCACUGUUUCGGCUAGGGGGUCAUCCCGACUUACCAACCCGAUGCAAACUACGAAUACCGAAGAAUGUUAUCACGGGAGACACACGGCGGGUGCUAACGUCCGUCGUGAAGAGGGAAACAACCCAGACCGCCAGCUAAGGUCCCAAAGUCAUGGUUAAGUGGGAAACGAUGUGGGAAGGCCCAGACAGCCAGGAUGUUGGCUUAGAAGCAGCCAUCAUUUAAAGAAAGCGUAAUAGCUCACUGGUCGAGUCGGCCUGCGCGGAAGAUGUAACGGGGCUAAACCAUGCACCGAAGCUGCGGCAGCGACACUAUGUGUUGUUGGGUAGGGGAGCGUUCUGUAAGCCGUUGAAGGUGGCCUGUGAGGGUUGCUGGAGGUAUCAGAAGUGCGAAUGCUGACAUAAGUAACGAUAAUGCGGGUGAAAAACCCGCACGCCGGAAGACCAAGGGUUCCUGUCCAACGUUAAUCGGGGCAGGGUGAGUCGACCCCUAAGGCGAGGCCGAAAGGCGUAGUCGAUGGGAAACAGGUUAAUAUUCCUGUACUCGGUGUUACUGCGAAGGGGGGACGGAGAAGGCUAUGUUGGCCGGGCGACGGUUGUCCCGGUUUAAGCAUGUAGGCGGAUGUUCCAGGUAAAUCCGGAACGUCACUAACGCUGAGGUGUGAUGACGAGGCACUACGGUGCUGAAGUGACAAAUGCCCUGCUUCCAGGAAAAGCCUCUAAGCAUCAGGUAACAUCAAAUCGUACCCCAAACCGACACAGGUGGUCAGGUAGAGAAUACCAAGGCGCUUGAGAGAACUCGGGUGAAGGAACUAGGCAAAAUGGUGCCGUAACUUCGGGAGAAGGCACGCUGAUGGUAGGUGAAGCGACUUGCUCGUGGAGCUGAAAUCAGUCGAAGAUACCAGCUGGCUGCAACUGUUUAUUAAAAACACAGCACUGUGCAAACACGAAAGUGGACGUAUACGGUGUGACGCCUGCCCGGUGCCGGAAGGUUAAUUGAUGGGGUUAUCCGUAAGGAGAAGCUCUUGAUCGAAGCCCCGGUAAACGGCGGCCGUAACUAUAACGGUCCUAAGGUAGCGAAAUUCCUUGUCGGGUAAGUUCCGACCUGCACGAAUGGCGUAAUGAUGGCCAGGCUGUCUCCACCCGAGACUCAGUGAAAUUGAACUCGCUGUGAAGAUGCAGUGUACCCGCGGCAAGACGGAAAGACCCCGUGAACCUUUACUAUAGCUUGACACUGAACACUGGUCCUUGAUGUGUAGGAUAGGUGGGAGGCUUUGAAGUGUGGACGCCAGUCUGCAUGGAGCCAUCCUUGAAAUACCACCCUUUAAUGGCUGGUGUUCUAACGUGGGCCCCUAAUCGGGGUUGCGGACAGUGUCUGGUGGGUAGUUUGACUGGGGCGGUCUCCUCCUAAAGAGUAACGGAGGAGCACGAAGGUCAGCUAAUCCUGGUCGGACAUCAGGAGGUUAGUGCAAUGGCAUAAGCUGGCUUGACUGCGAGCGUGACGGCGCGAGCAGGUGCGAAAGCAGGUCAUAGUGAUCCGGUGGUUCUGAAUGGAAGGGCCAUCGCUCAACGGAUAAAAGGUACUCCGGGGAUAACAGGCUGAUACCGCCCAAGAGUUCAUAUCGACGGCGGUGUUUGGCACCUCGAUGUCGGCUCAUCACAUCCUGGGGCUGAAGUAGGUCCCAAGGGUAUGGCUGUUCGCCAUUUAAAGUGGUACGCGAGCUGGGUUUAGAACGUCGUGAGACAGUUCGGUCCCUAUCUGCCGUGGGCGCUGGAGAAUUGAGGGGGGCUGCUCCUAGUACGAGAGGACCGGAGUGGACGCAUCACUGGUGUUCGGGUUGUCAUGCCAAUGGCAUUGCCCGGUAGCUAAAUGCGGAAGAGAUAAGUGCUGAAAGCAUCUAAGCACGAAACUUGCCCCGAGAUGAGUUCUCCCUGACUCCUUGAGAGUCCUGAAGGAACGUUGAAGACGACGACGUUGAUAGGCCGGGUGUGUAAGCGCAGCGAUGCGUUGAGCUAACCGGUACUAAUGAACCGUGAGGCUUAACCUUACAACGCCGAAG